Molecule: long non-coding RNA, 17534 nt
Filed under: Medicago truncatula (barrel medic)
Lineage: Eukaryota; Viridiplantae; Streptophyta; Magnoliopsida; Fabales; Fabaceae
Description: long non-coding RNA (MTRU_LNC002901)
Source: RNAcentral
UGUGAUCUUCUUCUUAAAAAAAUAAAUAACUUACCAUAUUAUGUUCUUAAGACAUGGAUUUCUUAGUUUGUACAUAUUUUGUCAGCAAAAGGAAAAGGAUUUUAAGGAUAAUGAGAUGAUGUUCCACUUACCAUCUUUAGUCAAAGUCAAACUCAUUGUUUUCUUCUGUGGUCAGGUGCUGAUAAUCUUAUCCCAAUGGAAUUGGCACUGAAAAUUGCUAGUAAAAUCAAAGCUAAGGAGAGAUUUGCUAUUUAUAUUGUUUUACCUAUGUGGCCAGAAGGUGAUCCUAAAUCUGGAGCUGUGCAAGAAAUCCUUUUCUGGCAGGUAUGUGAUUAUCUAAUGUCAAAAUUUAUAUUAGAAUUUUGGUUGGGUCUUAAUUAACCCCACAAAAUUGGCUUCUAAGGAGAGUAUUGUCUCCCAUUUAUAACCACUGCUAAGGCCAUAUUGCUAUGGGACUCCCAACACAUCCCAUCACGCCCAUAAUUAGAUAUCUGAAGCAUGGAAUGGGGGGUCUGUCAACAGAUGGCCCAACGGAUUUAGGAUAACCUGUAAUACCAUCUUAAAAUUUGCGUUGGACUUAACCCUACAAAACCGACUUGUAAAGUGAUGUCUGUCUUUCAUGAAUAAUCACUAUUUAGACCAUAUCACUUUGGGACUCCCAACAUUUUAUAAACUUGUUUAUCAUGAAAAUUUACAAUAUCUGAUUAUGAAGGCUAAGGAUCCGGCUUCUCUUUAGGGAGCACAAAGUAAGUAAUUAUCAAUAAGGAAAUCAAAGAAGCGAGUUCUCACAAAUGUUGGUUUGUUGUCGAUGUGAUGGUAUCUUAUCUAAUUACGUAUUGUUCUAAUGAAUGGUUUCCAAACCUGUAUUCAACUGUCCAACGUCUACACAACAUUAAAGGAUUUAUGUUUUUUAUUUGAGUCAAAAGAUAAAAAAAGCAACAAAAUAAAUUAAAUGUUUAUACUCAGUUCUAUGUUUUCUGUAUACAGGCUCAGACAAUGCAAAUGAUGUAUAAUGUUGUUGCUAAAGAAUUGAAAUCAAUGCAACUUAGUGAUGUGCAUCCACAAGACUACCUCAAUUUCUAUUGCCUUGGUAAUCGGGAACACUUCAAUGAAGAAAGUUCAGGCUCAAAUAGUGCACCGGUAAUUUCUCCAAAUAAAAGUUCCAUUUUGUUAAGGAUCUCUAAAAUGUACUAGUUCUUUAUCAUGUUAAAAAAUACAAGGCUGCUUUAUUUAAUAGUAUUCAGGGUGCUUUUGUUUCAGCUUUAAAAAAAAAGAUUUUGUGUUAAAAGAAUCUAGAGAUUUUUUCUAGAGAUUUUAAAAAAAUCAAGUUAUUUCUGUUUGUUUACUACCCAUAAAAAUCACUUAAAAAAAGAAUUUUAACUUUUACAUGUGUUACCUCCUUGUUUAAUAGCUUUUUUUUUUACUGGCAUUCUAAAAAAAUGGUUUUCUUUUAAAAUCCUAAACAAACACUAAAAAAUGACAAAAGUUAUUUUUUUUUUUAUUAAAAAAUAGAUUUUAUUAAAAAAAUCUGAAACAAACAGACCCUUAGUUAUCUACUACUGUAGAUGAGGUAAUCUUCUUUAUAUAGACAAUAGUGUUAGUAGGUAUCACACUAUCACUUAAUAUCACCAAUGAGAUGAUGUAUUCAAAAGUAUAAUUUUCUUUUGCUCUAAGCUUUGUACUAUCUACUGUCAAUUAAACAUAUAUUGGUUGCAUUUUCUGUGUAGUAUUGAAUUUCAUGUAGGUUUUGCAUAGAGCGUUGACCAUUUUCAGAUCAAACAAACUUAAAAAACUAUAAUCUUUUGAUUUAUCUCUUUGUGCGUUUCUUUGGCUUUGGAAAAUAACAAACAAGCAUUGAAUUCUCAGUCCACCAACCACCCUUCAAUCUUCAUCUCCAGCUCUUAACUUACAUAUGCGGUACGCCCAAACAUAAAAUCAGUUGGCUUUUCCUUUCACCAUGUAUAUGACAAGAUAGAUCUUGAUACAAUACAUUAAUCUGUAGAUGCAUCUUUUAAGUUUUAAUUGACUUGGCUACUGAUAUUAUGAUCAAAUUGUUAAAAUAAUUGUUGCUGAAAUUUUUCUUUAUGCUAUUCGAAUUGUAGAUGGUACUCUCCAAUUCAUCUAACAUUCCAACACUACGAUUUUUCUUUUUCUUCUUAGUAUAUUCCAUUUUACAUGUUUCUUAUAAUAUCCAAAUACUUGACUUUUGAAAUAUGUAUCUUAAAUGACAGACACCGAUUAUGAAUAGGUUGUGAAUUUUUUUGUCAGGUCUCUGGAGCAUUUAAAUAUCGUCGAAAUAUGAUCUAUGUGCAUGCCAAGGGGAUGAUCGUGGAUGAUGAAUAUGUUAUAUUGGGAUCUGCCAACAUAAACCAAAGAUCUAUGGCUGGUACUAAAGAUACUGAGAUAGCUAUGGGUUCAUAUCAACCCCAUUACACAUGGUCUGCGAGGAAAAAACAUCCACAUGGCCAGGUUUGUAUUUCUCACUAAGCUUUAAUUCUAGCAGCAACUCUAAUUGGAAAUUACCAUUUGUCUAGCCACAAGUGAUGCGUAACAUUGCAGUCAAACACAAAUAAGCUGGAAAUCACUUCUCACUCUUAUAAAAUUUAUUUAUUUUUGAAAUAUUUUAUUGAUUAUGGUGGCACUAAUGACCAUUUUACAACUGUCCCUGAGGGAUUUGAACUCAAAACCUUGAGGUUACAAGAUUAAACUCUUACCACUGAGCUAGCAAAAUUACUAAUUGAUUUGAUGCUUAAUGCUUAAGUAGACCGGUAAAUAACCCUUAUCCUAUCCUAUGAUGAAUGUGAAUGACUUCCCCCCAAUUUUUUAAAUUACUAAAAUAAAAAUAAAAAAUUAUAAUUUGACCUUUCAACUAGGUUUCUCUUUUACUUUUUCUGCUGUCUGUUGGGUGAAAAUUGAUUACUAUUUAUCUGAUGGGUUUUAUUCCUGCAGAUUUAUGGUUAUAGAAUGUCACUUUGGGCAGAGCAUCUUGGUAUGUUAGAUGAAACAUUUAAAGAGCCAGAAAGAUUGGAGUGUGUGCGUAAAGUGAAUGAAAUAGCAGACGAUAAUUGGAGAAAAUACGCUUCUGAAGAAAUGUCACUGCUACAGGGACAUCUUCUUAAGUAUCCCGUACAAAUAGAUUCUGAUGGGCAGGUCAGUUCAUUACCUGAUUGUGAUAGUUUCCCAGAUGCUGGUGGUAAGAUAUUGGGGGCUCAUUCCGCGACAAUUCCAGAUAUCCUAACAACGUAAACUCCUGAAUUCAUGUUUGAUUGAAGUUUUGGUGAAGGCUGUAAUAUGUUGCUUGCCUCUUUAAGGGGAAGAAGAUUUGAGUGAAGUGUUUAGUUUUCUCUACUUAGAAUUGAUUGUUCAAAUCACUUGUAAACCUUUCACAUAGGUAACAAUUCAUAUUUGUAAAAAACAUCACCAGUUUGUAGAUUGUUGUAUUAAUUGUUUGAUUCCUUUAUUUGUUCAUAAUUUUCUGCCACUUAUCUGCACUUCAUAACCAAUGAGAAUGAAAUAUUUUACGAUUAUUCUUAAACUGUUGUUGAUCACAAAGUGGAUUUAUUGUCAAUAUUAUGAGUUAUGGUUGGUAACAUGUAAAUGUAAAACUAUUUUACAAUAACUAUAAAGGUUGUCAAUAAAUUGAGUAUACUCAAACAUAGUUGGAGACUAAACUUGAUAAUUAAUUUGUUUAAUUUAUUUCAUGAAUUAAAUUAGUUAAACUUGAUAUAUAUAUAUAUAUAUAUAUAUAUAUAUAUAUAGCUCCAGUCAUUUAGUUCUUGAACUUGCGAGAUAGUAUAUAUAAUACUUUUUUAUAAUAUUGAUUUUAUAUACUCAAUUAAUUUUACAUUGAGUUAGUUUCCAAUACUUUUCAUCCUUUUUUGACAAAUGUACUUUUCAUGUUUGUUAUUAAAUUAAUUUCAAAAUGCAUUCAACUAGUAUAUAACUUUGGAUGUUUAUUUUAACCCUUAAGAGUGUGCCCCCACAAUAACCAUAUUUAUGUAAUCCCCAUUUAACAACCACAAUUCGUCAAGAAUAUAGGUAGAACUACAUGUACCAAUACACCAACGUGCCCCCGCCACGGACUAUGACACGCCUUCAAAAUACUCUUCUAUAUGUAACUAGGAUUACUCCCCAAAUUAGCACUCAAACAACUUCGAGAUGGGAAAUACUGAGCCUUAAAAAUACAGGAAAUUAAGGUUAUGUUUGGAUUGGUGAAGAGUGAUGGAUGGAGUGGGAUAGAGCCAUGUUCCAUUGUUUGGUUUUGUAAAAAAAAUGGAAAGGAAUGGAAUGUGAUGGAACCCAUUCCAUCCAAUACCACCCAUUUAUCCAAUCUUCCAUUCCCCCUAAUUUGAGGUGUGCAUCCAAUAGAAUGGAACACAUUGAUAAUACAGUUACAAUUUUGCCACUUUUAUUUCUUGUUUUUCUUUUUCAAUUACGAGUGCUUGAUUCCAUUGUUUCAUUAUAUCAUGAAUGCAUAACCCUGGUUGGGAUCCUAAACGAAGAUGAUUAGUUACCUCGAACUUAUGUUGGUAGCUUAGUUAACGGCAUCAGUAAUUAACCUUGUCAAUUUUAGAGAGUUUAGUUUUAGACAUAUCAAUAGAGCAGGCAACACAGUAUUGCUACAUGAUAUUAUUUAUUCAUUGGUAAUACUUUGGCUUCAUUAAAAAAAAAAAAUUAUAUCCUGAAUGCACCCAAUAAUUUUUUGGAUGUUUCAAUUAAAACAAUAUAUGUUUGUUACUCAAAUUGUUUCCUGAAUGUACCGAACCAUGAAUAGCUUCUAAAAGGCUUGUUACAAGAAAGAAUUUAGGCUUGUUUAUAAAUCUCAUGUUAGGCUCUGUUUGGUAAAAAUAGCAGAUAGCUGAUAAGCUAGCUGAUAGCUUUUAGCUGAUAAGCUAACUGAAGUGUUUGGUAAAAAUAGCGGUUCAACUAGCUGAUAAAUGUAAAAUGACAUAAAGGGUAUUCUUAAUUCAUAAUAAAAAUUAUAUCAUUAAUUUAAGUAUUUGUAACUUUGUAAACUAAUUUUUCUUUAAAAAAAUACUUUAAAUUUAUUAAUUUAAUAUAUCCUAUAUAUUAUAAAUUAAAUUAAAUUUUAUUUAUUAAAAUUUUAUCUUAUAUUUAUUAUCAUUUAAGUGUUUCUACUUUAUAAAGAAAAUAACAUUUACCUCAAAAAUAAAUAAAAAAUGUAGCACUAAUAGAGUAAUACUAAUAACAGAGAAUAAAAAAAAUAACACUUUUCUCAAAAAAAUAAAAAAUAAAAAGUAAAAAGUAACACUAAUAGAAUAAUAGUAUUUUGUUUCGUAAAAAAAAAAAACGAAGGUAUAUAUUUUUUCAAAAAAAAAAAAAAGACCAGCUGAUAUAUAUAUAAAAAUUGGAAUAAAGGGAUAGUAGUCUUUAUUACGUAGCUUAUUAUAAAAAUUAUAAUGGAUAAAAAUACAAUUUAAAUGAAAUAAUAAGGGUAAAAUUGAAAGAAAAAGUGAGAAGCUAUAAGCUAUAAGCUCAAACGCUACUUGGAAUAGCUUCUGAAAAAUAGCUUAUAAGCUCGUGAAAUAAGCUAUAAGCUCAUGGUGAAAAAGUGUUACCAAACAGAGCUUUUUUUGUCAAACGAGCUUAUAAGUUAAAAGCUAAAAGCUCUUUUUUUGGGUUUCCUAAACAGACCCUUAGUAUAUUCUCAAAUGGUUGUUAUGAACAUGUGUUGACUUUGAGUACUCAUGAAUGAAGGUAAUUAGAGGUGUUCGCGGUGCGGUUUGGUUCGGUUUUGAGAAAAAAGUCAUUCAAACCGCGAGAUAAAAAGCAUGCGGUUUGGUUUGGUUUGGUUCGGUUGAUUUUUAAAAAGUCAUCCAAACCAAACCAAACCAAUGCGGUUUGGAUUGGUUCGGUUUGUGCGGUUUAUCGCAAGAUAAAAAAUAUUACAUUAACUCUAAUAUUGCCAACUUGUCACAAAAUAAACAUAGGACAUUUUAUUUUGAUGUUUAUAUGAUAAAAUAUUAGGUAAAACUUAUAUCUAAAUAGGUAAAAUUAAGAAGAAACAUAAGCAUGAAACAAAUUAUUGGGAAGUAAAGGAAAUAAAUUCAUCACUGGAAAUGAAUUCAAAGAGAUGGAAAGGAAUUAGAAUUGAACUUGAUGGUGCAACAAUGGAAAAAUCGAAUCAAAAGAGAUUAUUUCUGAGCUAUGUUUGGGCUAGUGCAUAUUUAAGUAAUAUUCAUUAUUCUUGCGGUUGGGUUUGGUUUGGUUCGGUUGCUGAGAUUCAAACCGCAAACCGAACCGAACCGCACGGUUCAGUGCAAAAGUCAUCUGAAUUCAUCCGAACCAAGUACGGUUUUUUUGCGGUUUCAGUUUGGAUUGGUUUGGUUUGCAGUUUUUCUAUUGGGUUGGUUCGAUUUUGAACACCCCUAAAGGUGAUCGUUUGAAUGAACCAUGUAUAUUGGUGCUACUAACAUGCCAAAAUAACCAAAUAUCGAUAGAAUUGAGUUAAAAAUUCCACCUAUUGAUGUUUUCUAAAUAUAGAGUAAAAUUGGAAUAAAAAAUUCAUAACUCAUCCUGUUCCGUUGAUUUUCCAAACAAUGGAAUGAGAAAUUAACUCAAUUCCUUCAUAAAAAAUAUACAAACAAUGGAAUGAAAUCUUUAUUUCGUUCCAUUUCACUCUGUUCCAUUCGUUCCGUCAGUUUUAAGUUAUCCAAACCCUAAAAUUUUCAAAUAACAUUCAUCUUAAUUCGUUAGUUUUAAAUUAUCCAAACACUAAAAUUUUCAAAUAACAUUCAUCUUAAUUUUAUGGAAAAUGUUAAAAAACUAAAAAUAGAAACUUUUUUUUUUAAGGAAGAAACAUUUUUUUUGGAAAUUUUAGAUUCAAUGUAUUAAAAUUUUAAAACUUUAUCUUUUCAAUACAAAAAUUAUAUUUAAAACAAAUAUUUUAUAGGUUAGAUAUGAUAUUUAUUGAAUUAUAUUCCAUGAUCAAUUGCUGAAUUAAAUAGAUUAGAAAGAAAGGAUUAUUUGAAUCACUUUAUUCUUUGUGUAUAAAUAAUGUUGAUUGAUUUUUUUCAUCAUUUCUUUAUUAUGACUAAAUACAACAAACCUACCCUCUAUUUUAAAAACUAUCAUAUACCUCCCCUCUGUUGCAUUCUGUUAACUCUCCGUUAGAAUUUAGAAAUUAGCAUAAUUAGGUCAUAUAAAAUAUCAUAUCUAACCUAUAAAAUAUUUUUCCAUGAUCAAAUUGUUGAAUUAAAUAGAUUAGAAAGAAAGGGUUAUUUGAAUCACUUUAUUCUUUGUGUAUAAAUAAUGUUGAUUGAUUUUUUUCAUCAUUUCUUCUUUGGUAUAACUAUAUGUCUGCUAUAACUUCUUCGUGUUUAAAAGAAUGUUGAUUGAUUUUUUUUCAUCACUUCUUUGGUAUAUCUGGUAUAACUUCUUCUUUGAAUCACUUCUCUGAAUGUGCUAUUAUUUUUUUAUCAGUUAUGUUCUAUUUGUUUGGGUUAUUUUUUUUUUCAUGUAAAAAUGUUGUUUGGUAAUGACAAUUGUUGAUUGUUUUUUUUUCUUCAUAUAAGAAUGUAAGUUUGGAAUCUUGUUUGUCAUAGAAUUAUUUAUUGAGUUGUAUAUGAAUAUUUUGCAGGCUAUAAACUUUCAAACUAACGAGAGUAGAAUAGCUGGGAAUGUUGAAUCCAUGAACUCUACUGCUGAACUUGAACUACUAGCACCACUGCCACCGAGUAUGGAGAGGAAAAAUUAUGUGAAUAAAGGUGAAGGUUCCAAUGAUAAACAAACACAAACUCUUCAACAAUUGAAAAAAGAAGAUGGGACAGGAACUAGUAGUACUCUUUCCAGUGUCCAUUUUGAUGUUGAAGUAUGUAGGAAAGCGUUAGUUAGGAUGAUAAUUGUUGAUGAGUUGCCUUUUAAGUUUCUUGAGGGGGAGGAAUUUUGCUAUUUUAUGAGUGUUGGGCAGCCUAGAUUCCCCAUUCCUUCUAGGAUUUCAGUUGCUAGAGAUUGCUGAGAUAUUUUAACCGAAGAGAAACAUAAGUUAAGAAGUAUGUUUAGAAAAGGGGAUUAGAAAGUGCUAUAUGGUUUGUUUCUUACUUUUUGUGGUACUCCUUAUGUAAUGGUUUGUUAAGGUUAUGAUAGUACUAACUAGUAAGGUUGAUCUUUGGUCUUGUAUCAGUUAUUUUGUUUGUCUUGCUCAUUGAGUAUUUGCCUUUUUUGAUCAAAAUAAUAAGGCAUUUGUUCCUUAAUAGUUGCAUGGCUAUUAGGGUUGGGAAUAGGCCAGGCCAGGCCAGGCUUUGAUAGGCCUGAGCCUGGCCUACGAAAAUUUUUGCAGGCCUGAGCCUGGCCUAUGGCCUUUCAUAGGCCUAUUUUUUUGGCCUGGCCUGGCCUGAAAGCCUAUUUACAGGCCUACUUUUAAAUAGGUUUAAUAGGCCUCACUAAACAUUCCAUUUUAUCUACUUUUAAAUAGGUUUAAUAGGCCUCAAAGCCUAUUUGAGUGUAAGACUUGUUUAUCACUAUAAGGCCUUAAAAGCCUAUUUCACUAUAAUGCUUUAAAGCCUAUUUAAAAAGUCCACUAUAAAGCCUAACAUGCAUAAACAGGCCGGCCUAUUAGGCUUCAUAGGCUUUUUUGAUAGCCUAAGCCUGGCCUAUUUACUUAAAUAGGCUUUUUAAAAAGCCUAAGCCUAAUCUUUUUAAUAAACAGGCCAGGCCAGGCCAGGCUUAAACAGGCCAGGCCAUAGGCCCCUAUAGGCCGGCCUGGCCUAUUCCCAACCCUAAUGGCUAUAGAGAUUUUAUUGAAAUAUGACACAUUAUGCAUAAACUGCUACAGGCUAUACCGCUAUAGCCUAUCAUAUGAAAGAAUUUGCUACAGCUAGUAUAUGAAAGAAAAAAGAAAUACUGCAAUUUAUGAAAUCGUCAAAAUUAUUUUUAAUACGGGCACUACUAUCACUUAUUUACAAUUUGGAUAAUCGAAAACCGAUCCAAAUUAAACCGCGUUAAAUUGGAUCGGUUCGGUUCAGAUUUUAUUUUAAGAACCAACCGAACCGAGCCGAACUGCACAUAUUUUAUUUUUUGGAUCGGUUCACUUUUUGCUUCAUAACCGAGCCGAACUGCACCGCAAACACCCCUAAUUUUCUCCAUCGUUGUCGUCGUCGCUCUCAACAGUAAUUGCGGCAUCGUUCUUUCUAGUUUCUAAUGUGUUGUUUUCGUUCACCAUUAUUUAUUUUUUACGCCGUCGAUCGUCAUCAUAUCACUGUUUCGUUUGUGCUCUUUCUACAUAAUAAUAAAUUAAAACCUGUCUGGUGUAAAAAUUCAAUCACAGAAAUUUAUAAUUCUAUAGAUUUUAGUCUCUUACCUCCUUGAUGCCAAUAGUGAUAACCUUUUCUUUCAAGUCAUUAAGUGGUGUUUUCAUUUGGUUGAUUAAAUUUAAAGCUGAAGCUUAAGUUGCUGAGUGAAGGACCAUGAAUGAUUUUAUAGACAAUGCACACACUAUUGAUAGAUACGUUGCAAAAGUAAUUACUUUUAUUGUGGAUAGUGAGAAAAUGAGUUGUAUUUAAAUGAGUCAACGGACAAUUUAACGGUGUUAACCAAGAAGGGAGGUGUUUGUCUCUUUGUUGAAAAUUUAAGGGAGGUUAAUGUCCAUUUUAAAACUAGAGGGCUGUGAGUGCCAUUUUAAUAAAUCUUAGGGGAGGUGAGCGCAGUUUCCUCUAUAAUAAAGACCUUAUAAAACCGCAAAAUCCAAGACCAACUUGUUGCAAAUCGUACAAAAAGUGCAUUUCGACAAAAACCCUAACUCUUCGUCGUUGUUGCUUUCUUCUUCAUCGCUAUCGCUUUUCGUCGCUUUUCGAAAUGGUAAAUUUUCUAUCCGAAUCUAUACCCCAUUUGGAUUCUUCUUCAAGAUUUUUCUAACUUUUUCCCCAAUUAUUUUGCAGGAUGAUUCUCCAGUAAGAAGGUAACCCUUGAACUCUCUUUCAUUGCAAAAAUGAUGAUUAACAAAUAAUUUGUUAGCGAUUAUCUUGAAUUAUGUUUAUUUGUUAAUGAACCCUAACGCAAAAUUGAAUUAAACAUUAAGUUUAUAUUUAUUAGUGAAUUGAAUUUUUAAAUUAUGUUCAUUUAUAAACGAGAUGAAUUAUUUUAUCUUUGAGAUUUUAGGUUAAAGUUGAUUAAUUUUCUGUUUUUUAAUUUUGAACACCAAGUGAUUUUGCCCCUUGUGAAGCUAUUUGUUAUUCUGGUUAUGAUGGAAUAUUUCACAUUUCCAGGCUUUCAAGGUCCCCUUCCCCAUGGAGGGCUCAGUCAAGAUCCAGGUCUCGGUCCAGGUCUCAGUCAGGAUCCCUUGACAGGCACAGGCCCAGGUCUCUGUCAAGGUCGCCUGAAAUGCAAAGGCCUAGGUCGAGGUCGAGGUCUCCUGAAAUGCAAAGGCCUAGGUCUCUGUCAAGGUCUCCUGAAAUGCAAAGGCCUAGGUCACGGUCAAGAUCCCUUGAAAAGCAAAGGCCUCCGUCUCAGUCAAUGUCUCGUGAAAUGCAAAGGCCUAGGUCUCGGUCCAGAUCUCUUGAGAGGCAAAGGCCUAGAUCCCCCUCGAGAAAUCGUGGCAGGUUAAUUGCAAUCAUGGUUUAGCAUUCAAGCAUUGUUUUUACAUUUUUCCGUUCUGCAGUGCCUAAUGUAUUUCCUUUGAUUUACUGGUCUUAUUUGUUCAGAUCAAGAUCAAGAAGUCCUGAUAGGUUAGUCAAUUUUACCUGCAUCUUGUUAUAAUCCUUAGAUUGAAAGAUUAGCUUUACCUUAUUUAGUAUAUCGAUAGAAAUAGCCGUGGUUUGGAUUUGGUGAUGUUCUAUUAGGAACCUCUGAUAUUUUCAAUUUUGUUCUAGGAAUGGUGGGGACACUCUUUAUGUGACUGGUCUCUCUUCAAGGGUCACUGAGAGAGACCUAGAGGAGCAUUUCUCUAAGGAAGGGAAGGUGUGUAUCAUAUUGAUUAUCUCCUCUUUUUCACUGUAUAAUAGUCCAAUUUUCCUUCAUCAGUGAUCCCCGAAUCUUUGAAUGAGAAUGUCAUGGGUUGAUAACUUUAUUAGGUUGCUUCAUGUUUUCUUGUGGUGGAGCCCCGUACGCGUAUAUCUCGAGGUUUUGCUUUUGUCACUAUGGAUACUGCUGAGGAUGCAAACCGCUGUAUCAAGUACCUCAAUCAAUCCAUUUUAGAGGGCCGCUAUAUCACUGUUGAGCGGGUAAUGUGUAUUUUAAUUAACUAGUAGUUGAUAAAACACUAGCGCUUUUCUUUCUUGACUUGAAGGUUUUGUGCUUACAUUCAGAAUGCAUUGCAUCAGCUAUGUUGGCAGCAAUCAAAGAUGAUCAGUUCAUCCAUGUCAACUUUAGUGAAACAACUUGAUCAAAUGCAAGCUUAAACAGCUAAUCAAAUGCGUCUGAUCAACUAAACAUUAGCAAUUAUAACGUUCAACAACUUUACAACCUCAGCAUUCACUUUCAACUCAACUAGCAAUUAUAAUGUUCAACAACUUUACAACCUCAGCAUUCCCUUUCAACUCUGAACUAAUCAACGGACAUUAUUCAACAACUUUCUAAUCAGGCCUUUAUGGUAUCUCACACUUGGCAUUGAUCAUUAGUGUGUGGAUAUAACUUUAUGUUAAUCAAACUUUCUUUUAAAGGGCUCUUACUAUAAUUUGCAAGUGUUCAUUUUUACAAUUUAAUACAACAUGAUGGAUAUACCAGAUGAUUUAAUCUGUUUUAUGUUCAGCUUUACAUGAAUGAUUGGUGCGAGUUUGUUUAUAUCAGUGUUGUCGAUGGUGGAUGGUGGUCCAUGGCAGAGAGCCAAAAUCCUGCCUUUUAGGCCGCUUUAUGGUGCCUUCAUAGUGGCUUAUGGCAGAAAAGCUCGCAACAUCGGGCGAUAUUUACCAUAUCGGAGAGGCCGAAAUCCGCCACCACCGCCAUGGCCCAUAUUCGACAACACUGAUUUAUAUCAACAAAAUUCUAAGGAUGCAGUUUCUCUAUUUAUAUUUCAGUCAAAGAGAAAGCGGCCAAGAACUCCCACACCUGGGCACUAUCUUGGGCUGAAAAAUACUAGAGACUAUGGUAAGUGUGAGACACUUCUUUGAAUCUUUAAUAUAAUUUAUUACUUGUUUUAUGAAAUCUUAUUGAACCUUUGUCUUCUGUUGUUCUCAAGGACCUCGUGGUGGUGACCGUGGAAGGCAUCAGGGUGGAUUUGGUCGUGAUGAUUAUCCAUAUCAUAGGUCUCCAAGGCGUUCUCCGUAUCGUGGUAGCAGGGAUUAUUCCCCAAGACACUCUCCUUAUGGUGGAAGUGGAAGGUAUAGGAGGGAUAGGUCUAGGUCACCUCCUUAUGCUCCAUAUGGUAGCCCAGAUAGGAGGUAUGCUCGUGGGCCUAGGUGAUAUUUUACAUUAGUUUGUUUAGAUAUUUUAAGUUUGAAGAAGGAAAGCAAAAACUGUGUAAUUGCUAUGGUACUUUGACUGUUAGAUUGUGCCUAUAGGUGAUGUAUGCCCGUUUUGGAGGUAAUUUGCACUCUGCAAGUAUUGAUGUAUCUUCAAGUACUUUGACUGUUAGAUUGUGCCUGUAUCGUUUGUUGAUGACAUUGGAGUUAUAUUAUUAUUUCCAAGUAGUGGAACUUUAGUUUUUAAGCCUAAUAAGCGUUAUGUCAGCGUUAUACUGCCAUAUUUGCUCCACGUAACAUGUCACGUAAGCAAAUGACUGCCAUGUCGACAUGACCGUUAGAAGUUGGAUGUCAAUUUGACAGAGAAAGCAAAUUUACGUGAUUGAUAAUAUAAAAAGAUCAAAAUUGUGGAUUGGUCAUGCAAGGAACCAAAAUUGCAUUUAAACCAAUAAUAUAUUAUUGAUUUUGUGGUAAAAAAACACUAGCGAUAUAAUUCUUUUUUGAGCAAUGUUAUUUGAACAUCAAUUUGGUUGACAACCAUAUUGACAAUCAUAUUUUACAAAGAAAAGUAUGUGUUGGCACAAAAACCAAAGCAAUAGAGAGAAAAUAAAAAUAUAAUGUGAGUAUGAAAGAGAAAAUUGUCACAAAAGUUGUUAGGAAAUGGUUGUACAAAUAUUAUUUCUCUGUUUUUUUUUUUUGCUUUUGCACCGAUUUUCGACCCACUAAAGGUGGACGACUAAUCCGGCUCAUGCGUAGAGGUAUGCGCACUGGCCAAGCGUUGUUCCUCUGGGAAUCGUUCUCGGUAUUCCCCGGAUACGUCUUUGGAAGGAGUCCUUGCCACUGGAGCUCAAGCAACUUGGUUACUAGCGAUAUAAUUCUAAUGAUAUAACUAUGAGAGUAUCAUUAUUUUAUGGGUUAAUUAUGUUUAAAGUCCCUAUAAAUAAGCGAGCUUCCAACAUUGGUCCCUAUUUAAAUUUUAAAUUUUUCAUCCCCAAUGUUUUUUUUCCAUUUGUAAGUUUGGUCUUUGCCGUUUUUCAAUGAUUUUUUUAUACAAGUUUAGAACAUUACAAACGGCUCGUUUACUAAAAUUUAGAAUUUUUUAACAUGAAAUAAAUUAAAUUUGAAUUUUUUUAAAAGACAAAAGUUCAAAAUAAAAGUAACAAAAAUCUGGACGCAGGAAUAUAAUUUUGAGAUAAUUUUUUUGCAGAUAAACUUUUCGUGAUGUUCUUAAUACUUGUUACAAAUGCAACUUUUUCAGUGAGUAUAGCUUUUUUGGAAUAUUUAUAGCGUCUUUUUUCUAUAAAUCAGUUUUUUCAUCUUUACAAAAUUUGAAUUGUAAGAUAUAAAAAACUUUAUAUUGAUAUGAAUAGCAGGAAAGUUCAAUUAGAAGAUCAUUUAGUGGUAAAAGUGGACACGAGAACAUAAUCAAACAAAACAAUUUUGGUCUUGCACGCUGUACAUAAACAUGAUGAUUUUUCUCAGUCAGAGUGAAGACUUGGUUUUUAAGCGGUACAAGAGGUUUUUCUUUAUAGAACUUGGUGUUGUCAAUGAUAAGCACAACUUUACCAGGUUCACUAAUUUUAAAACUGUUGCAAAGGAGAGGGACGACGGCGGCAGAUCUGUUACUCACAAGUCACAAGUGAGAUACGAAGAGAGAAGAGAGGGUGAAAAGAAAAACUUGCAGUUGCUGUUGGUGGUGGUGGUGCGAGUAAGACAUGGAGAGGAAGAGAGAAGGAUGAUGGAAAUUUAGUGUUGAGAGAGUACAGUAACAGUAUGGUCUUCAAAAAAUUUCAAAUACUUCCAAUGGUUAAUAUCUAUUUUACAUGCCAAAAAAAAAAAAAUGUUAACUCCCCUAAAGAGGUUGCCCACCGUAGCCUUUGCCAUUGAUAUUUGUCAAUUAACUUAAAUUGGAUUUUCCUAACAAAAAAAUAUUUUUAAAACUUUUUUUUUUUGUGAUCGGAAUUUGAACCUCAAACGUUGCAUAUUUUAUGCAUUGUACAUGCCAAAUGAACUUAAAAUACAAUAUUAAUUGGCUUAAUAGGUCAUUUGGCCCCUUAAUUAAUUUCAAGUUUUCAUUUUAGUCCCAUAAUUAAUAAAACUCUAUGUUUUGGUCUUUUAAUUGUCUCUCCGUCGGUCAAAUAAAUCCCUGAAGUUAACUUUAACCCCAAAUGUCUAUAGUGGACCAAUAUUAUAGAUGGUCCAUCAUAGACCGUAUUAAUUUUUAAAUUUAAACAGUUUGAUUUUUUUAAAGAGAAUACUACCAUUGAAUUAUGCAAUACUACUUUAUGAUACGUAACAACACCUAAUUUUAUUUCCUUUAGUUCAUCUUCUUCCUUUGCCAUUCUUCAUAAUUCAAGAGCACCUCCAUCAAUACUCAUGAACAAGCAAGAAAAAUUUCCAGAAACAAAAGUCAAAACAAACAUAACAUGAUUAACCUCUAUCUUUUAAAUUCCAAUUUCUUAUCCUUUCGUUUCAAAGUCAUCAUUUUCUCUUGCUCAAAUUUCUCUCACGUUUCCAAUUAUUCUAAUCAUAUUUUCCCUUUUCUCUUAUUCUGAAAUUUCCAUCAAGUUUUCAGAUCUACCUUCGUACCAUAUCUAUGAAAGUUGCUACCUAUUUCAUUGAAGAAUAAGGUUUAAAAGAAAAGGCAAAACCACAUAACAUGAAGACCCAUUUUAAGGAACCCAUUAAUGGCGUUGAAGCUACAUUAAAGGUAAACAAGCAUGAAAAAAAAAUCUGUUUCACGAGGGUCAAAAAUUCGAAGCAAAUAAUGGGUUUUGCUUGAGUUUUUAAGCCAGUUUGUGUUGUAUUUUGGAGAAGAACAUCAAGUUUUUCAAAUAAGUGUUUUGAGAUUUCUGUGGUGAUGUGAUUUUUGUAUGGAUACGGAUUGAGAAAGUGAUUUUAUGAUAUGGGUUGGUGAUGUUGUUCGAUUGUGAUUUUUUUUUUCUUCCAGUUUUAUUUUCUGCAUAGAGGUUGGAGGUGAUGAAUGUAUGAAUAUGAUGAUUUUAAAAAAAUUAUUUCUUUUUUUGGGUUUUUUUUUAUCAUGGGUUUUGUAUGAAUGUUGAUGAAUGUGGAGUUGAAGAAAUUGAAACCCGUGUGUUUGAUUUUGUAGUGGAGAAAAUUGAGUUUCAAUAAAUUGUUUUGGAAAAAAAAAUUCUGGAAAAGGUUGAACCUUUUGAACAUGAUGAAAGAUGAUGAAGAUAUGAGGAAGAAGAAGAGGGAAGAGAGGGAAGAUGAUGAAAAGUGAAAAAAAUUAAGUGCUGAUGGUUUACCAUAGAUAUAAUGGACAUGCAAUCAAAUGGUUAAAAUGAUAUAAAAAAUAUCUGACAUUAAGAAACUAACAUAGUGGACCAAUUUAACUAAUGAACGUAUAAUUAAGUGAUCGAAAUGUAAAUUUUUUUAAUUAUGAGACCAAAAUGAAAACUGAAAAUUAAUUAAUUGGGGAAUCAAAUGACCUGUUAAACCUUAAAUAUCCAAUUUACUAAGGUGACAACUAGGCUACCUAUGAAAGAAUGACAAGUAAUUUACCCAAUCAAUACACAUUAACCACAUAAGCACAAUUAUCUUGACCCCACAAAUAAAUUGCUCAUUUUCAUUUGUUGGUGGAUAAAUUACCCACCAUUCUUCAAAGGUAAUUUAGAAAAGGAGAAAACUUAGAUGCAGUUCCCUGCAUCCUGUAGGUGCUGUUCUCCAAUCGACACAUGACACGUCAAUUAUUUUGUCCACGUCAGAUGUUAAGAGAUUAACAGUAAACGUUUUGUUCAGUUACUGUUUCUUUCCAUCUCCUCUUCAACUAACCUGAUCUUCUCUUCGAGAAUCAACAUACCACAGCCACGCACUUUCCCCCUAUCGAUCUUCCAUACCUCCCCCUCUGUAGGGCCACCAACGUAUGUGCAUCAAAACAUGGGACAUGAUAAAAGCCCAAACUCUUUGAUAUAGACAAAACAUUGACAACUUAUUCUUAUAUAAUCAAACAAAAUAUCUGUCAUGGAGGAGGGUUCAGUUUGUGCUGCAACGGUUUAAGAGGAAAUUUUACAUACGCUCCUGCUUGGAUUUUCUUAGAUUCUUGUUUCUUUCCAAAAUUUCAGCAUAUAUGGUUUCUUCUUUCUUUUACUGUGUUGGUGUUUUGCUUUCUCUCUUGCAUUGAGGGAUCUGAUUGUUAUCUUAAAGUUUAAUUACAGGGUGGGGUUUUGCCACUGUUAGUUCUUAGUAGUGAUGAUUUGACAUCUAUGAGAAUGUAGAUUGUGAUAGAACGCAGAUGAUCACAACAGUUGCGAAGACGAAACAUUGAAACGGAAAGAAAUUAACGGACGUUAAAUCAUAUAAUUUAAUAUAAUUAAAUAUCCAGGUGUCCUAUUUUUAUUCGUGAACAGUAAAAACUGUGCCUAUGCAACUGUACAUAAGUUUUCUCCUUUAGAAAAAACCAUUUACUAAAUAUUACACAACUUAAUACAAUAUCAAUUUCUACAAAUCUAAUUUACUAAAUAUUACAAAAAAUCACAAAUUACAUCAAAAUAAAUUUAUUAUUAAAAAACCAAUUUUUUUUAUUUAAUCAAGAGCGAGCAUGGGGUCAUUUGCAACAACAACAAUGUUCAAUUUUUCCACCCUUGUUCAUAAUCCUCAACCCCAAACACUCAUCUUCUCUCCAUUCCCUUCUUCCACACCUCGCAAGUUUCAAUCUUUUCAACCUCUCAAAUCCCCCACAAACCGCAACCUCUACAAAAUUCUCUCUUCAUCAUACCAAAAUGACAACAACGACAACGACGAAGAACACAUCAUCGGAGAUUGUCUGGUUUUCGAAGAAGGCAUUUUCGAAGACCCCAUUUUCCCAACAUCCGACAACAACCUCGUAAACAACAAAAAACCGAAACCAAUUUCAAAGAAGAAAAAACAGACAGUGAUAAAGUCCGAGAAUCUUGUUCCUGGUAAAUGGAAAGAAGUUCAAGCAGGGAUAAACAUAACGAAGAAAGAACAGCCUAAGAUAGCUCAAGAGAUUGAGUUUAAUAGUAAAGAAGAACGGCGUAAGAUAGCUCAAGAGUUUGAGUUUAAUAGUAAAGAAGAACGGCGUAAGAUAGCUCAAGAGUUUGAGUUUAAUAGUAAUUUUAUGAAGAAGAAAAGUGGGUUGGUUCAUUUGAGGGAUAUUGAUUCGAACGAGUAUAAAGCUUAUAAAGAAGCUAAAUUGGC